AAUCAUGGCUCAGGAUGAACGCUGGCGGCGUGCUUAACACAUGCAAGUCGAGCGAAGCAAUUUAAGUGAAGUUUUCGGAUGGAUCUUAAAUUGACUGAGCGGCGGACGGGUGAGUAACGCGUGGAUAACCUGCCUCACACAGGGGGAUAACAGUUAGAAAUGACUGCUAAUACCGCAUAAGCGCACGGUACCGCAUGGUACAGUGUGAAAAACUCCGGUGGUGUGAGAUGGAUCCG
RNAcentral lists this ribosomal RNA (236 nucleotides) under uncultured bacterium. Its description in RNAcentral is "partial 16S ribosomal RNA". It matches the Rfam family "Bacterial small subunit ribosomal RNA", at positions 15 to 233 of the family's 1533-position model. The record is from RNAcentral.